Long non-coding RNA from Mustela lutreola (European mink), 542 nucleotides. RefSeq lists it as uncharacterized. The record is from RefSeq and is a predicted model, not a curated record. NCBI's taxonomy places the organism in Eukaryota, Metazoa, Chordata, Mammalia, Carnivora, Mustelidae. The transcript is spliced from 3 exons.
UUCAUAUUCUAAUCACUCACAGAUGCAGGAAGUUAUUUCAACAGGAGAUAUUUUUUACAAAUUCUUCUAAAGUUUCCAAGGAGCUUGUGUUUGAGAAUGCCAUUCAGGAAAUAGACUAAAAGAAAGUCAGCUUUUGGAGUGAGCAGAAUUAGACUGAAAUCUCAGUCAUGCUGCUCAAAGCAGCCUGCCCAGAGAUCGCUGGAGUCUUUUGAAAUCCAUCUUGGUAUGCAGUGCAAGACGGUCUGCAGCAGCAAAGGCCAUACAAGGGACAGUUCAGCCAGAGGCAAGAAACAGCUCACCAAAAUGUCAAAUGGAAGCCUGGGUCAUUGAAAUUUAUUUGCAUUUUGAUGACUACACAACUUGGGUUCCUGCGAUGUGACGUCCAUCAUCAGUAUUCAUAGUGUCAAAGCAUGUAUUCUGUGGUCAUCAUUUUCAAAAGUGACUUUUCAAUAAAAGAAGGGAGCACAUUGCCUCUCUAAUUCAACUUGCUUCUUAGAAGUGAAAAAGAUGACAUGCAACUUCUAAUAUUCUUGUUCCGUAUA